GACGAACGCUGGCGGCGUGCCUAAUACAUGCAAGUAGAACGCUGAAGGAGGAGCUUGCUUCUCUGGAUGAGUUGCGAACGGGUGAGUAACGCGUAGGUAACCUGCCUGGUAGCGGGGGAUAACUAUUGGAAACGAUAGCUAAUACCGCAUAAUAGUAGAUGUUGCAUGACAUUUGCUUAAAAGGUGCAAUUGCAUCACUACCAGAUGGACCUGCGUUGUAUUAGCUAGUUGGUGGGGUAACGGCUCACCAAGGCGACGAUACAUAGCCGACCUGAGAGGGUGAUCGGCCACACUGGGACUGAGACACGGCCCAGACUCCUACGGGAGGCAGCAGUAGGGAAUCUUCGGCAAUGGACGGAAGUCUGACCGAGCAACGCCGCGUGAGUGAAGAAGGUUUUCGGAUCGUAAAGCUCUGUUGUAAGAGAAGAACGAGUGUGAGAGUGGAAAGUUCACACUGUGACGAUAUCUUACCAGAAAGGGACGGCUAACUACGUG
Molecule: ribosomal RNA, 495 nt
Filed under: uncultured bacterium
Lineage: Bacteria
Description: partial 16S ribosomal RNA
Rfam family: Bacterial small subunit ribosomal RNA
Source: RNAcentral